CACUUAGAUCUAGCAGGUUGAAUAGAACUGGGCAGUUACCAAUGCGCCUAACCAUGGUAAUUGCAGACCAGACCUUUUGGUACUCCUCUCUUGAGGUUCUGAUGAUACAUAGCUUGGUAAUUGGAUUCACAUACUUGACUGCACAUAACCAAGAUUUAAAAGGGUGAGAGAAGAUUUUACAGUGAGGUAAAGGGAAGCUUGCAAGCAGUGGAAAACUUGAACUGGCAACAAAUUACAUACCUUGGAGCGAUCCAAGGGAUGAAGCCAGACCACACUCCCCAAAGUUUACAAGAAUACUGUCUUUAAUCGCUUUUGAAACAUUAUAUUGUGUUAUUAUAAUAGGAUCAUCGACUCCAAGAUCUCGAUUUGGAUCCAAAAAAACUUCCAUUACCAUGUACCUAUUCUUAAAUCCCACCAUGAUCCUUUACCUAGCUUGCAAAGACAAUUUUGCCGGGAUAAAGCAAAUUAGCAUAAAGAAUAUGGUACUUGGCAUAUGUUAUAUGAAACAUGCACGAAAUCUAACAAAUUUUAUCACUGAGAAGGACUUUGUGCACGGUAAAGACUAGUUCACAAGUAAAAGAAUGGGCAAACCUAGCAUUAUUCCAUCUUAACUCCAUAAAAUCUUUGUGAUGAGACUUUUUAUAACAAAUAAUUGUAUCCUCACCUUCAAAAACUUCAGUGUCUCCACUUCAAAUCAACCAGAAAAGAGCACGAGGAAGCAAACCGCUAGGCUUCUGAGUAUAUUUAGAAAAAGCCUUGCAACGCUUUCUAAAUGUGAACCUGAAGAGCUCACAGAACCUAGUGGUAACAAAUACUCACGGCAGUAAGCUCCAUAGGCAAAUGACAACGAAUAAGCAGAUUAUUAACAAUUUCCUAUAAAGUUGGGCACUACUAGAAUUAGGCUUGUGGGGUGGAGUACCUAACAAAAAAUCACUACUUCUGAAUUGAAACCUAGUAAGGAUACUAUAAGGUCCUUAUGAUUCAUCCACUGAUUCUUCGUGACCAACUUGUACUCUUGAACUAAGAUACAAGCUUGGUCAAGGGUAGAUACACCUUGAAAUACAACUUCUCUUCUGAGAUUAUCAUUCAAGCCUUUACAAAAUCUAUACAAAGUCGUGGCUUCAUUCUUUUUUAUGACAUAUCUCAUCAUGUAAUCGUUAAACUGUAUUAUAUACUCAUUGAUAGACUUAUUUCAUUGUCUGAGAUUGUUCCACUGGUCUAAGAGUUUAUUCCUACAAGACUAGGGUAGGUACUUUUUUUUUUCAUGGAAAGACAUUUCCUGAGCACAAAUACACAUGUACACACAAGAACAUAAACCUUCAAAAGCUUUCAAUACAUCUCUGCCCGAAUCAAGAAAAUUACAGCAAUGAAACCAAUUAUUGUAUAUUGUAGUUAUUAAAGAAGUCUUCUAAUGAUCCCUAUCCAUUUAAAUUAAAUAAAAAAUGAAAAUUACAGCAAUGAAACCAAUUAUUGUAUAUUGUAGUUAUUAAAGAAGUCUUCUAAUGAUCCCUAUCCAUUUAAAUUAAAUAAAAAAUAAAAAAUACCACAUUUGAAACUGAAAUGUGAUGGUUAUAGCCAUUACAAAUGAGACAAAGAUUGCUAUCAUCAUACAUUACUUAAAACUAAAUGCUGAAGCCAGAACGAUACAUUCCUGGGCCAAGUUAAAACAACAAUCGAUAGUUCAUUUCCCAUUCACCCAGUCCGCUCAAUAGUUUAUUUCCCAUAUACCCAGUCUGCUCCUUUUCCCCCUUUACACACAUUUGUUCACUUUUCUGCAGUAAAAAUGACUGUUCAACAGGGGACUACCUCAGAAGCCUAAAUUAAUUGUUCAUCAUUAACCUACAUGAAUCUUUAGAAACUAAGUAAUCGAGAUCGACAGCUCUGAUCAGUAUAUAAAAUAAAAUAAAAGGCUAACAUUUUUAUCGGCUGUAAGAACCCUGGAUCAUAGAAAUUCGACAAAAAGAACAAAUAAUACUAGAUUACAAGAUCAAACAAAUGGGUUCAACUAGCAAAUAAAAGAAAAAUAGUGAAGGGAAAAGAUCAUGGAGAAAGAUAAAACAACCAAGACCAAAACCUAAGCCCUAAAAUAAUACAUUACCGAUGAAAUUAAAGAAAAAUGAAUCGCUGAAUCCGUGAAAAAUACCUUGACAAAUAUUGAGAUCAGAGAGAAUGAUAAGGAGCUUUCCGAUUGGUAGUAGUUUCUUCUCGCCGCCUCGCCUCAACUAGCUGCUUCUUUCUUUCUUUUUUUUCCUGUUUGCUUGACCUUCCAAGUUCAACUGAGGCGGCGCAUGCCCAAUUUAACGCUCUCUCUUUCUAGAAUUAUCUUAUAUGUGCGGCUGUAUAUAAAGUGGAGUCGCCACGCGCAGUGAGACGCGUGCUCCUCUCUCUCAGACCUGUCUUGAAUUUAUGAUCACGUACAGUGACAAUCUCUCAGUUUUUCGAUUGAUACAGCGGACUCCUAAACGUGUACCAGCUGAUGUUAUUGAUACCUUACAUAUUUAAGAUAUCUUACAUGUUAUUAAUAAAAUAGUAAGUAGAUGCUGAAGAUGUUGAAAGGUCCUUGUCCCAAUCUUUAUCUACCUCCUCCCGCUACCUAGACGUAUGAGUGUAAGGAUGAUAUGGUUUCCACAAUUUAUUUUGUUGAUUCUUUAGAAUGAUGGAUAUGCAGGCUAGAGAACUAUGAAUUGCUGACAACAUUUCUUACUUUGAAUUGGAACCUCUCUUUUAAUGCAAUUGUCCAGUAUCUUGCAUAUUAUCAGUUAUUUGGAGGUUUUUCAAACCGAUCACACACUGUUAAUAAAUUUGCUGUUGUGAAACAAGUAUACCUUGGAGAUUACCCGAACACCCUUGCUAUUGGAAGCACCGCAGGAACAAUGCAUACCUUCCAAUUUAGAAACGCUCAGAGACCAUUUUCCACGAGCAUAUUGUUCUUUUCAAGUUGCUUUAGAUCUUGUUUUACAACAGCAGAUAAAAAUGGAUAGUCUGUUGGAGAUAUGAGGACUUCAGUUAUUGAGAUUAAUAAACAACCAUCAGGUAUUUUUCGAAACUCAGGAAAGUACAAGUUUCCUUGGGAAGAAGCUCUUAGUGCUAGCAUGUUCUUUCUUAGACGUUUAAUGUUAAGCAAAAACGCCUGAACUUUAGUAUGUUCACAGCAGUAAUAACCAAGCUUCCUGAGGUUGGUGAUGUGGUUAAAAUCUCUUCACUAGGAAGGAAAGCAACAGUUCGGGGAGUGGAUCCAUGCAACAUGAAGUUGAAGUUGAAAUUUACUGAGAUUGGCGUUGAAUGGUGGAAAAUAAGCACACUGCAUGUGCAUCAUGGGUAAGAGCGUUUCUUCUUAGUUCACAGAUUGCUCCCUGCAUGUGGUAAAAACUAUACCAUUACGUCAUUUUUCAGAAACAGUGGAUUAUCUCAGUAUAUCAGUGGUUACACGCAAACACACACACAUAUGCAUGCCUGUAUGUGAUUUAAUACUUGUACCGUGUCGAAUACUAUGAAUUAGCGAAUGCAUUCUAUCUUUAUACAUAGAGAGAGGUACAAGGCAUUAAUAUUCUUGGAAUUGUUAGCAGUGCUGGAAACAGUUGACUAAUGACAGUGCUGGAAACUUUGAAGUCAGUGAGUGCAAUCAAUAUUCUUGGAAUUGUUAACAGCCCACCUGUAAAGUGAAGAGAGUUAAUGAUGUAUUCUUUAUUUCUUCUUCUUUUUUUCCUAUUUGGAUAGCCUUUAAUUACUAUGUGGAUAUUAUUGUUAGCAAUAUAAACAUCAAACUCUUUUUGCUAAAUUAAUUUGUAUGUUUUCUUACGAUAAGCUGUUCAGUUCGUAACAAAACUUGAUGCAUCUAGACUUGGACUGCAAAUUAAUGCUAAGACAUGCAGUUUGCCAAAAGCGGAGAGCGUGCUGAUUUAGAAUAUAACAAUGGCAUAUAAUAAAUCAAUGUGGGAAGCAUGCGCUGGUUGUAAAAUAGUACUGUCCUUCGUCGAAUUUAAAUAUCUGGUUUGAUAAUGGAAGGGCAUCGAAUUUAAAUACACAGAGGCUUGUAGUCUAGCGGUGGUAAAGGGUUUCUUUUACCUCUGCAUCCUGGGUUCAAGUCUCAGCGUGUAUGCCUGUCAUCCCCGCGGUGCCUUACAUGUUCACUGGGUUUGCAGGAUGUUUAAUGAGCCGUGGGAUUAGUCGUAGUACGUGUAAGCUGGCCCGGACACCCACAUAAAUUAAGAAAAAAAAAAGAUUGAACAUUAGUAACAAUGGCGUAUAAUAAAUCAAUGUAGGAAGCAUGCGCUGGUUUUCUUGAUUUGCAAUUGUGGUCAGAGUGCGGCCGACACACAAUGGGAAGGAUGAGGAGUCCUGUCUUGACCUGGCUCCUUGAAAAUUGAUGCAAGAAACGAUCUUUUGGCAUCUACCAGUACUGCACUUUGGAAGAUACCGUCCUUCUAAUAAAAGAACCCACCAACUACAGAGAAUCAGCUGGAAAGUGGAGGUUAGUUCUCCAUUUUCAUGUUGCUCAGCCAACCAAGACUGACAAGCGUGCGUCCCAUUUUCAUAGUGCUCGGGGUUAGUAGAAUAGCCCCAGGGAAAGAAUGGGAUUUAAUUUUACAUGGGAUACGUACGUGUUUGUUUUUGUUCUGCAUAGUUCUAGAGAGGUUAUUCGGCCUUUCCUCUUUUUUUUCUUUCUUUCUUUCUUUUAAUGUGUUGCCGGCCGUUUAUAUUGAAAUAAUAUAUUUUUAUUUUUAAAAAUUUAUUCUUCACAACAACAACAUCAGCAUACAAAACAAUUCAAAAAAUAUAUAUAAUAAUAAUUUGAAGUUAAGAAGUAUUUAAAAAAUUUCAAAGGCCUAAAAUGACAAAUUAAGGCGUACCUCAACAAUCCAACAAACAAGUUGUGGUGGUGCCCGAAAUUCAAGAUUCUACACACAAUAAUAAAAGAGACACUGACCUCCGAAGAUAUGCGAAGGUGGACGUGAAGGGCUUUGUGUCUGAAGAUUGUUGCGUAAACUGAUUCGAUUAUUAUGACUUUUUAUGGUCGAAACAACUAAAAAACAAAGGGGGAACACUUGUUGCGCACACAAGCAUAGUCUGCAAAAUAGCAAUAGAAAACACAGAUACAGCUUCUUCUUCUUUUGGAAAUUGAAACGCAAGGUAAGUUGACUAGGAUCUAUCCAGUAGUUAGAUUAAUUCUAAUGGUACUGUUCAUAGUCAACUUUGGUAUUGAAAAUGAAUUGCAGUUUGUAUCUUUCUGCUGCUGCUGCCUGGAUCCCUAACUUAUUCGUUAUUGUUUUAGUCUGGUACACAUCAAGUAGAAGAAUCAAACUUGACUUUGGGACUCCACGUCCUUGUGGCCGCCAUCGUCGUCCUCGUCGCCAACAGCCCACCCAACUUCCAAGGUGACAUCCAGGAAAUAGAGCAUGGAAACCAGGAAAAAGCAUGACAAAAACAUUGGAAUGGGCCCAAAGAUCCACAAAAAGAGUGGGAACGAGAAAUAAAAGGCACGCAGCCCUAAUGACCAGAAAUAGCUACCCCUGUUCACGGACCUAGCCACAUACUCGGUGCUGAGAUGCUGGUGACGAUGAGUAAGGCACAUCUUCUUGAAGGGCACGUUGAUGAGGAUACUUGCAUGGCUGUAGUACCUGAUUGACUGCACAUUCAGCAAGAAUGCCACCAGGAAGCACACCAGUAUUGAGAAGAACUUGAUAGACAACCCUAACUCACUCCUGUCCCCAAUCACAAAAUUCCUGGCUGAUUUGUCCCCGCUGCCGCUUGUCAUGAGAACGGCAAUAAGGGAGCUGAGCAUGAUGGCUGUUGAUGCCAAGACGGUGGAUGCCAUUAUAUUGUUUCUCAGUGUCUGCACUGCGAGAACUCCAUUCUUGGACACGUCCUGCACCAUUACAAUUAAAUCCUGAUGGUCAGUACUGCUUCAUCCUGAAAAGAUGAUCAAGAAAGAUACCACAAGGAAAAUAAGAAAUGGAUAGGGAUAUAUGUAUAUGUGGAAGUCGACCUCCAUCAUGGCCCGAACCCAGAAGCGGCGAUUGAUAGCAUUGAUGCCAACGACAGUCUUGGUGGGGUGCUUCAUGAUUCGAUAAAGAAGCCAUGUGUGGUAUGCCACCAUCGUAACAAGUCCCAAAGGAACCAGUGUGUAAUCGAGAAUUGUUCUCCCCAUUCAAUCCUUAAUUAAUUUCACUUGAUUUUUUUGAUGCGGGCUGCAGAAUAUAUAGAGAAGGGGGGUAGAAGGAAUCCAAGUGUAACACGGGAGCUUGUAUUGUAUGUGGACUGAGUUAAGAGAGAUAGACUGGGCUGGGCCAGAGAUUUCAAGGGAUAUUUAUACAUGGGUGGACGGGUGGAUGGGUGACACCUGUUGCAUUAUCUUUUAAAUAGUGAUUGAUAGUGCAAGUAGUAGGAUUCUUACGCGGACGCAAACACAAAUUUCCACCUAUGACUUAUAGCUGCCUGCCUUUCGUCUCCCACCCAUCACCCUCUCUAGCAAGCGUGCAUCCCAGUCAUCAGCAAGAGAAUCCCAGCUCCUACAUUGUAAUCUAAGAAAUAUGUAUUUAUUUGAUGUAAGAAUAUUAAGCUAAGGACUUAUAAAUUGUUUGCAUUUCUUUACAUAUGCAAAUAAAAAUAAAUAAAUAAAUAUAUAUAUAUAUAUAGUCAAGAACGGGAUUCCUGGAUCUAGAUCCUUGUCGGCCUUUUGUUCUUGUUAGCUGCCAGUAUAUAAUCCUUGAAGAGCAUUCUCAUUAAGGUUUUCCUUUAACGACCAGCACCAAACAUUUGACUACGCAUCUACAUGACACCAUUGCUUUACUUUUAGGUGUGCGUGUGCGGGCAAUGGUCAUCAGCCCAGCUGAUAAAAAAAAGUCACUUGGCCUGACGCUUAGCAAUCUGGGAUCAAAAUCGCAUCCCCUCUUUUACUCAGGGGAAACUAAAUAAGAGAAAAUUCACUUGGAAAAGAAACAUGGCGUCAGUAAUCACAAAUAAUAACUUGAGGGCAAGUCCAUACUCUCCACCAAGUGUAGAACUGUAUGAAAACUGAAUUCCGUUAAUUUGAACAAUCAGUCAGUACGCAAAUCCUCCUAAUCAUUAUUAGAUGUGGACUCCCAAACAUGUAUCAGCUUUUGCUAAUGAUUGCCAGAUAAAACUUCACCUUCAAAAUGUCAAACGAUAUGGCAGAAGUACACAAUGAAAAAAAAAGGCACAAAGCAGCUGCUUUGAUAAAGGGUGCCCAAGGUCCAGGUACAGAGGAUCUCAAAGGUUCUUCACAGGCACUCACCUGGACAAGUUCCUGAAAUGAUGCUCCCAAACAAAGGGGUCAGCUAGUAUCAUUUCAAACAUCUCAGAUUCAACAACCCCAGAGACAAAGAAAAGCCCAAAGGGAUGGAUCAGAAAUGGCCAGUUUGAAACUGUUCAUGAGUUGUGCAAAACAAAGCAGUGCUCCAUAAUUUGGCAGGCCAGUAGGUUACUACCAACGCAAGGCUCAGUGCUCCAAAAUCUUGAUCUUUUCAAGACAGUUUUGCAUGUGCUGAUUAACAUCAGCAGAGAGAGGUGCUCCAGCUGCAAGUUUGUAGUGCUCAAAUUUCAUUUCAUCACACUUCAAGGCAGCAACUUUACAGGCCUUGAUACUUCCUGGAACAAAAAGAAAAAGCAAAAUUAAAGAGAAAAGCUGAGCAAAAGAUCCAAUGCAAGCAAAGGAAGUAAAAUCAGAAUAAAACAUGUUGGAACAUUGUGAUCAAUUGGAAAUAGUUUAAUUUUGGGAUCAACUGAAAGGUUAUAAUGUUGCAAAAACACCUGAACCUGCAUGGACAUCAAAUUGAUAACAGAUGGCAGGAAGUUUGCGGGUUUAACUAAAUUUUUUUUCCUUUGUUCUAGUUCUCUUCAUUAUCAAUUUGCUAAUGAACAGUUUUCAGCUUACCACUUAGGUCGGUUCAAAAAGGAGAGAGGGGAGAAGAAAAGGAAGAAACUCACCACUUAGAUCUAGCAGGUUGAAUAGCACUGGGCAGUUACCAAUGCGCCUAACCAUGGUAAUUGCAGACCAGACCUUUUGGUACUCCUCUCGUGAGGUUCUGAUGAUACAUAGCUUGGUAAUCGGAUUCACAUACUUGACUGCAAAUAACCCAGAUUUAGAAGGGUGAGAGAAGAUUUUACAGUGAGGUAAAGGGAAGUUUGCAAGCAGCGGAGAACUUGAACUGGCAACAAAUUAUGUACCUUGGAG
Molecule: long non-coding RNA, 8194 nt
Filed under: Populus tremula
Lineage: Eukaryota; Viridiplantae; Streptophyta; Magnoliopsida; Malpighiales; Salicaceae
Description: long non-coding RNA (PTRE_LNC001130)
Source: RNAcentral